Molecule: ribosomal RNA, 468 nt
Filed under: uncultured bacterium
Lineage: Bacteria
Description: partial 16S ribosomal RNA
Rfam family: Bacterial small subunit ribosomal RNA
Source: RNAcentral
GAUGAACGCUGGCGGCGUGCUUAACACAUGCAAGUCGAACGGAAAGGCCAGUGCUUGCUCUGGUUAUCGAGUGGCGAACGGGUGAGUAACACGUAGGCGACCUGAUCUGCACUUCGGGAUAAGCCUAGGUAGGUGGGUUUACUCCCAGAUAGCAUAAUGGCUUGGAUGGCGUUGGGGAGAGUUUUGUCGGUGUGGGAUGAGCUCGGGGCCUAUUAGCUUGUUGGGGGGGGAAUGGCCUACCAAGUCGACGACGGGUAGCCGGCGGGAGAGGGUGGACGGCCACAUUGGGACGGUGAGACGGGCCAGAGUCGUACGGGAGGGAGGAGGGGGGAAUAUUGGACAAUGGGCGCAAGCCUGAGGCAGCGACGCCGCGGGGUGGAUGACGGCCUUUGGGGUGUAAACACCUUUGGCGAGGGACGAAGCGUAGUUGUGACGGUACCUGGAGAAGAAGCACCGGCUAACUACGUG